RNAcentral lists this ribosomal RNA (463 nucleotides) under uncultured bacterium. RNAcentral describes it as "partial 16S ribosomal RNA". It matches the Rfam family "Bacterial small subunit ribosomal RNA", at positions 30 to 523 of the family's 1533-position model. The record is from RNAcentral.
AUUGAACGCUGGCGGUAUGCUUUACACAUGCAAGUCAUACGGGAGUUAGUUUCGGCUAACUCCAGUGGCGGACGGGUGAGUAACACGUGAGAAUUCGCCUUUAGGAGGGGGAUAACAGGGGGAAACACCUGCUAAAACCCCAUAUGCCUUCGGGUCAAAAGAGUAAUCUGCCUAAAGAGAAGCUCGCGGCUGAUUAGCUAGUUGGUGGGGUAAAGGCCUACCAAGGCGACGAUCAGUAGCUGGUCUGAGAGGAUGAUCAGCCACACUGGAACUGAGACACGGUCCAGACUCCUACGGGAGGCAGCAGUGAGGAAUUUUCUGCAAUGGGCGAAAGCCUGACAGAGUAAUACCGCGUGAGGGAAGAAGGCUUACUGAGUUGUAAACCUCUGUUACCUAAGGAGGAAGAUCUGACGUUACUUAGGAGACGAAGCAUCGGCUAACUCCGUGCCAGCCGCCGCAGUAA